RNAcentral lists this ribosomal RNA (279 nucleotides) under Triticum aestivum (bread wheat). Its description in RNAcentral is "partial small subunit ribosomal RNA". Lineage: Eukaryota; Viridiplantae; Streptophyta; Magnoliopsida; Poales; Poaceae. The record is from RNAcentral.
CUCACGGUCAACGGCUUCGGCAAGGGCAAGGACGGUGGCCUCCCGUCCGAGUGCGACGGCGCGUACCACGACGACUCGGAGAUGGCCGUCGCGCUCUUCACCGGCUGGUUCAGCGGCAUGUCCCGCUGCGGCCGCAGCAUCAAGAUCACGGCGAAGGGCGGCAGCUCCAUGCACGCCAAGGUGGUGGACGACGUCGUGGACGCCUCGCCGGUGGUGUGGGACGCCCUAGGCCUCGACCAGAGCAUCGGUUUGCAGGAUGUCACCUGGUCUGAUGAGUAA